RNAcentral lists this ribosomal RNA (468 nucleotides) under uncultured bacterium. RNAcentral's name for it is "partial 16S ribosomal RNA". It matches the Rfam family "Bacterial small subunit ribosomal RNA", at positions 28 to 507 of the family's 1533-position model. The record is from RNAcentral.
GACGAACGCUGGCGGCGUGCUUAACACAUGCAAGUCGAACGGAAAGGCCCUGCUUUUGUGGGGUGCUCGAGUGGCGAACGGGUGAGUAACACGUGAGUAACCUGCCCUUGACUGUGGGAUAACUUCAGGAAACUGGGGCUAAUACAGGAUAGGAGCUCCUGCUGCAUGGUGGGGGUCGGAAAGUUUCGGCGGUUGGGGAUGGACUCGCGGCUUAUCAGCUUGUUGGUGGGGUAGUGGCUUACCAAGGCUUUGACGGGUAGCCGGCCUGAGAGGGUGACCGGCCACCUUGGGCCUACGGUACGGCCCAGUCUGCUACGGGAGGCAGCAGUGGGGAGUCUGGCACAAUGAGCGGAAGCCUGUUGCAGCAACGCCGCGUGCGGGAUGCCGUGCUUCGGGUUGUAAACCGCUUUCGCCUGUGCCGAAGCGUUAGUGACGGUAAUGGGUAAAGAAGCACCGGCUAACUACGUG